AAGGUAUCACCUACACAAGCAACAAACAAGUUAGUUUAAAAUCCCUCUCCUCACUCACACUCUCUUGGUUCACUCACACUCAAGUUCCACAAGUGUUGUAGAUUGGCUAGGAACCCGGGAAUCCGUAAGGUAUGAGUAUGCUCUUGCCCGAAAUGGAUUCUUGUUUGAAACUCAAAGAAUUCUCGUCGGACUAGAGCCAAGAGUUACAACGUAUUCAAAUGACAAAAGCACACAAACAAACAA
RNAcentral lists this long non-coding RNA (243 nucleotides) under Capsicum annuum. RNAcentral's name for it is "long non-coding RNA (CANN_LNC007331)". Lineage: Eukaryota; Viridiplantae; Streptophyta; Magnoliopsida; Solanales; Solanaceae. The record is from RNAcentral.